Sceloporus undulatus (fence lizard) is the source of this 571-nucleotide long non-coding RNA. RefSeq lists it as uncharacterized. The transcript has 3 exons. The record is from RefSeq and is a predicted model, not a curated record. Lineage: Eukaryota; Metazoa; Chordata; Lepidosauria; Squamata; Phrynosomatidae.
AUGGUUUAUAGCUCAGAGCUGUUUCCAUUCAGCAUUUGCUUUGCUCUGCUUACUUUUCUCUAAUUCUCCAUGGGUCUCUCUCUAAGGUGACAAACCAUAUCAAUAUUUCUUGAUGUGUGUCCCCAGAGGAGAAAAAAGUAUAUCUGUCUUUCCUCUUCUCAUGUACCUGCUGAUGAACUGGUAGACGGAAGCAACAGUGGGCAGAUGCAGAACAGAUGGUAAAUUGAUGGCCACAAUGUCUGUGAAACAACAAACACAAACUCAGUAUCAGAGCUGCAGAUUUCUAGGAGAACAUUUCCUGAUUACAGCUGCUGAACAUGUUCUAGGAUCUUGUAACUGCAUCCAUGGAAGGAUCGAGUCAGAUGGUUGCCUCUAAUUGCCUCCAGGGAUUUCCAUUAAACGUUCUAAAUGUGGAUCAAAUUAUGUCCUGAUAGAUGUAACAUGGGAGCAUAGCUUCCUCCAGAUGUUACUCUGAACACCUGUGGUGUGUUCAUGUCUGCUGGCCCACUUCUUCAUGAAUUUGAUACAAUAUCUAAACUUUACCUGUACACACUAUGCACAAAGUUAAGGA